RNAcentral lists this ribosomal RNA (301 nucleotides) under uncultured bacterium. RNAcentral's name for it is "partial 16S ribosomal RNA". It matches the Rfam family "Bacterial small subunit ribosomal RNA", at positions 509 to 807 of the family's 1533-position model. The record is from RNAcentral.
CAGUAGCCGCGGGAAACCGAAGGGUGCAAGCGUUACUCGGAAUUACUGGGCGUAAAGCGUGCGUAGGUGGUGGUUUAAGUCCGUUGUGAAAGCCCUGGGCUCAACCUGGGAAUUGCAGUGGAUACUGGGUCACUAGAGUGUGGUAGAGGAUAGUGGAAUUUCCGGUGUAGCAGUGAAAUGCGUAGAGAUCGGAAGGAACAUCUGUGGCGAAGGCGACUAUCUGGGCCAACACUGACACUGAGGCACGAAAGCGUGGGGAGCAAACAGGAUUAGAUACCCCGGUAGUCCCUGUCUCUUAUAC